UGGCUCUCGCAUCGAUGAAGAACGCAGCGAAAUGCGAUAAGUAAUGUGAAUUGCAGAUUUUCAGUGAAUCAUCGAAUCUUUGAACGCACCUUGCGCUCCUUGGUAUUCCGAGGAGCAUGCCUGUUUGAGUGUCAUUAAAUUCUCAACCCCACCGAUUUGCUUCGGGGGGAUUGGACUUGGAGCGUGCUGGCGAAGGUCGGCUCCUCUUUAAAUGCAUCAGUGGAGAGAAACUUGCCCCAGUGUGAUAAUCCUGUUGCGCUGUGGUGGGUGAAAGUCUGCUUCCAACCGUCCCUCCGGGGACAUACGUCAUCUUAUUUUGACCUCAAAUCAGGUAGGACUACCCGCUGA
RNAcentral lists this unclassified non-coding RNA (348 nucleotides) under Amphinema byssoides. Its description in RNAcentral is "partial contains 5.8S ribosomal RNA, internal transcribed spacer 2, and large subunit ribosomal RNA". The stretch from base 1 to 134 matches the Rfam family "5.8S ribosomal RNA", at positions 22 to 154 of the family's 154-position model. RNAcentral also lists the same sequence under 1 other name. The record is from RNAcentral. Lineage: Eukaryota; Fungi; Basidiomycota; Agaricomycetes; Atheliales; Atheliaceae.